GAUGAACGCUGGCGGCGUGCCUAAUACAUGCAAGUCGAGCGAACAGACGAGGAGCUUGCUCCUCUGACGUUAGCGGCGGACGGGUGAGUAACACGUGGAUAACCUCCCUAUAAGACUGGGAUAACUUCGGGAAACCGGAGCUAAUACCGGAUAAUAUAUUGAACCGCAUGGUUCAAUAGUGAAAGACGGUUUUGCUGUCCCUUAUCGAUGGAUCCGCGCCGCAUUAGCUAGUUGGUAAGGUAACGGCUUACCAAGGCAACGAUGCGUAGCCGACCUGAGAGGGUGAUCGGCCACACUGGAACUGAGACACGGUCCAGACUCCUACGGGAGGCAGCAGUAGGGAAUCUUCCGCAAAGGGCGAAAGCCUGACGGAGCAACGCCGCGUGAGUGAUGAAGGUCUUCGGAUCGUAAAACUCUGUUAUUAGGGAAGAACAAAUGUGUAAGUAACUAUGCACGUCUUGACGGUACCUAAUCAGAAAGCCACGGCUAACUACGUG
This 497-nucleotide ribosomal RNA is filed under the name uncultured bacterium. Its description in RNAcentral is "partial 16S ribosomal RNA". It matches the Rfam family "Bacterial small subunit ribosomal RNA", at positions 28 to 507 of the family's 1533-position model. The record is from RNAcentral.